RNAcentral lists this ribosomal RNA (460 nucleotides) under uncultured ammonia-oxidizing beta proteobacterium. RNAcentral's name for it is "bacterial SSU rRNA". It matches the Rfam family "Bacterial small subunit ribosomal RNA", at positions 202 to 644 of the family's 1533-position model. Lineage: Bacteria; Pseudomonadati; Pseudomonadota; Betaproteobacteria. The record is from RNAcentral.
AAAGCAGGGGAUCGCAAGACCUUGCGCUUUUGGAGCGGCCGAUGUCUGAUUAGCUAGUUGGUAGGGUAAAGGCUUACCAAGGCAACGAUCAGUAGUUGGUCUGAGAGGACGACCAGCCACACUGGGACUGAGACACGGCCCAGACUCCUACGGGAGGCAGCAGUGGGGAAUUUUGGACAAUGGGCGAAAGCCUGAUCCAGCCAUGCCGCGUGAGUGAAGAAGGCCUUCGGGUUGUAAAGCUCUUUCAGUCGAGAAGAAAAAAUUGCGACUAAUAAUCGCAAUUCAUGACGGUAUCGACAGAAGAAGCACCGGCUAACUACGUGCCAGCAGCCGCGGUAAUACGUAGGGUGCAAGCGUUAAUCGGAAUUACUGGGCGUAAAGGGUGCGCAGGCGGCCUUGUAAGUCAGAUGUGAAAUCCCCGGGCUUAACCUGGGAACUGCGUUUGAAACUACAAAGCUAG